CACCCGGAACUAGAUGGUGGGUUGAUUGGUCCUCUAUUUCUGUUGCACCACAUCAAGGUCUUCAUGGAGAGUUGGUACUAUACAGUUAGUUUUGUUCUUUUUCCCUAUCCUGAAAUUUUUUUUCCAUAAACAAAUGGGUUUUUUUUUUUCUUUUUAUUUUUUGUUUUUUGGGAAUAUUAGUGGGAUUUUUAAGGGGAAAAUGGGGUUUUGAUUGUCUUGGGAAACAAACACGGAGGGAUCGAAAAAUUUAGGACUAAGAGGAUGAAUUCACUAUAUGGUUGUAUUUAUACCUUGAUUGAUUGGGUUGUUCUCAAGUACCACUUGAAUGAUACUAUAUUGUAAGGAGAAAUUCCAUUCAAUCGAGCGUACGGAUUGACAACGUUUGAAUACCCAGGAACAGAUCAAAUAUUCAAGAGGGUGUUUAAUGAGGCAAUGUAAAAUCAUGCUACAUUGAUAAUGAAGAGGAUAUUCCAGAUUUACAAAGGGUUUGAAGGCCUCAAAGUGUAUAGAGAGAAGUCUAGUUAUGGUAAAAGAUCAUCGCAAAGUGUUUUUUCGAUUUCGAAUUUAGAAUUGAGAUGAAUGAUAGUUAGGGUUUGUUUAGAACUCUCCCACAAAUCAGGUUUUUUUUUUCUUAAUAACAAAUUUGAAGUAUUUUAAAUUAUAUUUGAGUGUGUUUUAAGAAAAUAAAUAAAAUGUAUUUAACACGUAUAUCUAUUAUUAAUUUUUUCUUCUUAUUUGAACCUAUCUUUCAUUUCUUAAAUGAAAUAAAUUACUUUUAAAAAAAUUCAUACGUUUUAUCUUUUAUAAUUGUAAUAGUAAUUUUCAUUCAUUUUGAAAUAUUUAAAUCUUUUAAUCUUUUAUAUUUAAUUAAAUAAUAGUGAAUUAAUAAUAACACUUAUUACAUUAUAGAUAAUUAUUGAAUGAAAAGUUUCAUCUCUCAUUUACAUUAUUUAUUUAAACAAAUUUAAAUUUUAUUAAGAAAAUUACAACAUUAUUUUAAAAAUAUUAAUAUUUUGAAAUAAAAUUUACAAAAAUGAUGAAAUUUUUUCUAUUGAGAUUUAAUUCUUUUGAUUUUUUUAAAAAUAUUUUUAGAAAAAACUUAUUUUUCCUUUAUAUAUUUUUUCAAUUGAUCAAAUAUAUAUAUAUAUAUAACUUCUUUUUUUCUAUAUUUUUUCCGGUUGAUUGAAUAAUUUGAUAUAUUAUGUAUUUUUCUUUGAUAUGAAAUUAUUUAAUUUAAUUUGGAUUAUAUUUUCUAUCUUUAGAAACAAAAAAUAAUAAUUGGUUUUACAAAAUAUAUAAUGGUUUUUAAAAACAAAUUUUAAAAAAUAAUUUUUAACAACAUAAUAUAAGUCAAUAACUUUUCCAUAAGAAUUUUUAAAUUUAAUAUAAAUUUUUAUUUUACUUUUUUGAAAAGAAAAUGUAUGAAAACCAAUCAUUAAUUUUUUAUUUACUCUUCACUUUUUUCAUUCCAAAAAAGUCUUAAAGUUAUAAAUUUCAUUCUCUUUAAAACCAUAUUAUUAAAAUAAUUAAUGUUAUAAAAAUUUAUCAUUAAAAGUUUGAAAACUUUUCAAAUUUCUCAUUCAUUAUAAAUUUUAUUCUCUUUAAAGUUUUUGAGAUUUUUCUUUUUUUAAUCCACAAAUUUCUUGAUCAAAUUAAUUCAUUUUUGUUCUUAUCUUUAUUAAAAAGCUCUUAUAUAAAAGGAAAAAAAUAUUUAAACUGUAUAUAAAAUAAUUAACACAAACUUUUUUAUAAAUUUAGUGUAAAAGAAAUAAAUAAUGUGUUUAAAUUAAAUUUGGUAAAUGUUAUGGCUAAGGACCAAGGUGGUAUUUAUUUUUUUAAUCUAAAAAAUAUUGGUUAAAAAAAUAAUUUUAUUAUCAUAAAAUUUUGUGCCAAAAAGUGUAAUUUUAUUUAUAUCUAAUCCCAAUUAUUAUUUUUUAAUUUGGUUUCACGUUUAAUUCAAUUAUUUAAUUUUGAAUCUUUACUUGAUUUUUAUGUAAGUCUUGAAAGAAUAAAUUCACAUACUAAUUUUUAUGUUGGAAAAUACGAGUUGUUUUUUCACUUUUUUUUAUUUCUUGAAAUACCCUUAUCAAUACUAAUAAUCAAUUUAAAUGAUAAUUUAAUGCUUUCAAAAUAAUUUAAUCUUUUCAUUUUGUUACAAUUUUAAUUAUUUGAGCGUAACACAAACCAUUCUUAAAAAUUACCACCACAAUCCUAAAAGGUAAUUCAAAAUUUAAUAUUUUUCAUACUCAUAAUCAACUUAAAUGUGGAUUUAAUCUUUUUAUUUUCUUAGGGUUAACAUAAGUCAUUCCUGAAAUUGGCAUCACAAAACUAAAAGCUAAUGAAAAAUUUAAUUUUUUCAUUUGCUUCCAAUUUCUAUUCCAUCAAUAGGGCUUUAAUUUAAUUUUUUAAUUACUUGACACAAAGGAAAUUUGUAUUUCAUAACUUCAUUUUGAUUUUAUAUUCAAAUUCAAUACAUCAUUUUAAUUUUAUAUUCAAAUUUAAUCUUGAAAACUGCUCUCAAGAAACUAUAAAAGAAAAGAUUAAUGUUUGUGGAAAACCUCUCAAAUUGGGCAUUUAUCUUCGGCACCCCCUCCAACAUAGCUACUCUAUUCUUCAUCCUCUAUUUGACAAAGGAUAAUAUGAUCUACCAAUAUAAUAUUUAUUAAUCUCAAUCAUUGAUUUUUGUUUAUUUAUAGUAUGUAUGUAGAAAAGUCUGAUUAUAGUAGGAGAUCAUCAUAAAGUAUUUUUCGAUUUUAGAUUUAGAAUUGAGAUGAAAGACAGUUAAGGUUUGUUUGGAACUCUCCCAUAAAUCAAGUUAUUUUUUUUUAAAUAACAAAUUUGAAGUAUUUUAAAUCAUAUUUGAGUGUGUUUUGAGAAAAUGAAUAAAAUAUAUUUAUUAUUAAUUUUUUCUCCUUAUCUUAACCUAUCUUUUAUUUCUUCAACGAAAUAAAUUAUUUUUAAAGAAAAAAAAUUACACGAAACUUUUUAUAACCAUAAUAGUGAUUUCCAUUCAUUUUGAGAUAUUUAAUUCUUUUAAAUUUUUAUAUUUAAUUAAUAAUAGUGAAUUAAUAAUAACACUUAUUAUAUUAAUUAUUGAAUAAAAAUUUUCAUCACUCAUUAACAUUAUUUAUUUAAGCAAAUUUAAAUUUAUUAAGGAAAUUACUACAUUGUUUUAAAAAUAUUAAGAUUUUGAUAUAAAAUUUACCAAAUGAUGAAAAUUUUUCUAUUGAGAUUUUAAUUCUUUUGAUUUUUUUAAAAAUAUUUUUAGAACAAGACUUAUUUUACUUUUAUAUAUUUUUUGUUUGAUUGAAUAAUUUGAUAUAUUAUAUAUUUUUAUUUGAUAUGAAAUUAUUUAAUUUGAUUUGGAUUCUAUUUUCUGAUAUGAAAUUAUUUAAUUUAAUCUGGUUCCAUUUUCUAUCUUUACAAAAAAUAAUAAUAAUAAUAAGUUUUACAAAAUAUAUAAUGGUUUUUAAAAACGAAUUAAAAAUAUAAUUUUUAACAACAUAAUAUAAGUCAAUGAUUUUUUCAUAAGAAUUUUUAAAUUUAACAUAAAAUUUUUAUUUUAUUUUCUUUAAAAGAAAGUGUUUCAUAAACCAAUCAUUAAUUUUAUUUAUUUAUUUUUCACUUUUUCAUUCCAAAAAUGUCUUAAAAGUUAUAAAUUUCAUUCUCUUAAAACCACACUACUAAUAUAAUCAAUAUUAUAAUAAUUUAUCAUUAAAAGUUUGAAAACUUUUCAAAUUUCUUAUAACCAUUUCUUUUUUCAUCUUUAAAGUUUGAAAUUUUUUCUCUUUUUUUGUCAUUCUGAAUUCUUUUCAAAAAUUUCUCUUCAACUCUUUCGGGUAUGCUAUUCCUUCUUUUUCAUUUUUUCUUUUUCUAUUUUUAAACAUUUUUCAUUUUUUUAAUCCACAAAUUUCUCGCUCAAAUUAAGUCAUUUUUGUUAUGAUUUUUAUUAAAAAGCUCUCAUAUAAAAUAAAAGAAGUAUUUGAAUUAUAUAUAAAAUAAUUAACUUAAUUAAAUUUACAAAUUUAGUGUAAAAGAAAUAAAUGAUGGGUUUAAAUUAAGGUUGAUAAAUAUUAUGCCAAGGACUAAGGUGGUAUUUUUUUUUUAAUAUAAGAAAAUUGAUUAAAAAAUAAUUUUAUUAUCAUAAAAUUUGGUGCCAAAAAAUGUGAUCUUAUUUAUAUCUAAUUCCAUUUAUUUUUUAAAUUUGAUUUCAUGUUUAAUUCAAUUAUUUGAUUUUUAAUUUCUACUUGAUCUCUAUAUGAGUUUUGAAAUAAUAAAUUCACAUACUAAUUUUUUUUCAUAUUCCCUCACGUUGGCACGUGUAUAACUAGUAAAUUCCAAAAGAAUCAAUCCCACAAACGUAAUUUUUCUUUUAAAAACUUGUAAAAGGAUAAAAUUAUUUCCAAAACUACACUAUUUGUACAAUUUAAUUGUCAUUUAAAAAUAUUUUUAAUAUUUAAUUUAAAAUAUAUCUUUUUAAGUACUAAAUUAUUCAGGCAAUUUUAAUAGCAUAUUAUCCUUAUUCAUAAUAAAUUUUUGUAUGUAUUUUUUAGCUUUGGGAAUAUAAGCAAAUUCCCUUAUUACUAUAAUCGCCUUAUAAAAAAAAUGAAAACAAUUUUAUUCCUUAUUUUUCCUUUUUCUUGAUUAUGGAUUUAAUUAAGAAAACUGGAAAAUAUUUUUAAAAACCCAUAUGGGUCGAUUAUUCUCUAAUUUGAAUUUUAUGUGAAAAACAUUAAAAAUUAAAUAUAAGGUUUAUUUGAUUAAAAGGACAAUUGAAAACCCGAUUUUGGAAAUCUAACCCUCAAUUAUUUUUUUGCCACAUUUUGACUUUAAUGUCAUCGUUCUUUUCUUGUAAAAAUAAUUAUUUGUUUUAAAACGUGUGCAUAUAAAUACUUGAAAUAGUCAAGAAUAUUUAUGUCAAAAAUGGGUUACUCUUUAAGAAAAAAAUGAAAGAGAUUAAAAUCACAAACAUGAAAAUUAUUUCAUCCCUUUUAACCAAUUAAUUUGAAAUAUAAUUAAAAGUUAUAUAAUACAUAUUGCAUAUUUUAUACAAUACAUUGCAUAUUAUUUUUAACUUUCUUUGUUAUAAUUUUUAUAUUAAAUGAUGUAAUAAAAUGCUCCUACAAUUAAUAUAUUUAGUUAUAAUAUUUCAUAGUAUAUUAAAUAAAAUAAAAUAUUUAUAUAUUAACUACUAUAAGAUAACAUAUCAUUUCAAUAAUAUGUGAUAUCAUCAUGUACUGUUUUGCUAAUAUUCAAAUUAUUUUUACAUUUGUAAUAUUCUCAUUCUAUUUACAUUAUUAUACAUGAUUUUGAUCAUAUUCCCUAUGGUAGGUUCUAUAACGUCUUUUACAAGUUUUUUUUUUUUUUUUUUCCAUUUUAUAAGUGUAGCAUGGCUCAAAGCUUGCUCAUGUCAACACUUUCAAUUCCUUUAGCAAUACACACUUAACACAUUAUUUGGAAGGCAGAGAUUCAGGAAGAAAAAAAUCACUUAAAAUCCCUACUUUAGUGGUAGGAUAAUAGAGAUUUUAUGAACCAGAGAGUUAUAGAUGUUUCUUUAUGUUGGUUCAAGGAUCUAAAAGACAAAAUUGAUCUAGCCCAAAACAAGCAAACAAGAAAUCAAAAAUGGAAUAGGGUACUUAUUGAACUAAAUGGUUAAGGCUUGACAAUGCAUUGUCCUUAAAGUAGAUUCACCUUCCUCGGGUUAUUCUUCAAAUUGAUAAAUGGUAGUUUUUUCAUUCAUUCUUUCAUUCGUUCAUGUACAGAGUAUAUAUAGAGGGUAAUCAUCAUUCUAAGAAUGAGAAAGAAUGAUACAAGGAAAGAAUGAUAUAAGGAAAUAACAACUAAUAUCCUAAUAUCUCAACUUUCCUAAUAUCUCAAUAUUCCUAAUAUCUCAACUUUCCUAAUAUCUAAACAUUCCUAAUAUCUCAACACUAAAUGAUACAAGGAAAGAAUGAUAUAAGGAAAGCAUUCCUAAUAUCUCAACACUCCCCCUCAAGUUGGUGCAUAGAUGUCACACAUGCCCAACUUGUCUAAAAUUUUUUAGAACACUUGACUUGAGACAACUUUGGUGAGGAUAUCGGCCAAUUGAUCUUCUGAUCGAAUCUUAGGCAAUUCCACAAUCUUAUCAUCCAACUUUUCCUUAAUGAAGAAUCUAUUCACCUCGACAUGCUUUGUAUGAUCAUGUUGUACUGGAUUAUGAGCAAUGUCACAUGCGGCUUUAUUGUCACAAAACAAUCGGAUUGGUUGCCUAUAUAGGAAACCUAAAUCCUGUAAGAGGAGUCUUAGCCAUAAUGCCUCACAAAGUCCUAAAGCCAUACCUCUAAAUUCCGCUUCUGCACUUGAACGAGCGACGACAUUCUGCUUCUUACUUUUCCAUGUCACAAGAUUACCACCUACAAAGGUAAAGUAACCAGAUGUAGAUCGCCUAUCAUCCACUGCACCAGCCCAAUCAGCAUCAGUAUAUACUUCUAUACUAUGAUGAUCAACAUUUUUAGCAAACAAAAUUCCCUUCCCAAGAGCAUUCUUCAAAUACCUCAAAAUACGUAUGACUGCAUUCAUAUGUUGCUCUCUAGGAUUAUGCAUGUAUUGACUCACUACACUCAAUGCAUAAGCAAGAUCUGGUCUUGUAUGAGCUAAGUACAUUAAUCUCCCCACAAGUCUCUGGUUUCUUCCCUUAUCGGUUGAUACUUGAUUAGGCUCAACACACAAUUUCAGACUUUCAUCUAUUGGUGUAUUAACAGGUUGACAUCCCAACAUUCCAGUCUCCUGUAAAAGAUCUAAGGCAUACUUUCUUUGAGACAGAAAAAUUCCUUCACUUGAUCGAGAAAUUUCAAUCCCGAGAAAGUAUUUCAGAGGACCUAGAUCUUUCAUUUCGAAUUCUCUAAAUAGAUAAUUUUGCAAAGCUUUUCUUUCUUCAGGAUCAUUUCCUGUAACUACCAUGUCAUCCACAUAUACGAUAAGUGUCGUAAUCUUACCAUGUUGCUUUUUCAGGAACAAAGUGUGAUCUGAAUUACUUUGACGAUAGCCAAAAGCUCUCAUUGAUUUUGUGAACCUUCCAAACCAUGCUCUCGGGGAUUGCUUCAACCCAUACAAUGACUUCUUCAAUUUGCACACCUUUUGACAUUGCUUUUCUAACACCAUGCAUCUUGGUGGAAGAUCUAUAUAUACUUCUUCAGAUAACUCGCCAUGCGGAAAGACAUUUUCACAUCGAACUGUUGUAAUGGCUAAUCUAGGUUUGCAACUAAAGACAAUAAUACUCGAACUAUGUUGAUCUUAGCUACAGGUGCAAAUGUCUCUGUGUAGUCAAUUCCAUAAGUUUGAGUAUACCAUUUUGCUACCAGUCUUGCUUUAAAUCAUUCAAUACUACCAUCUGCCUUGUACUUCACAGUAUAGAUCCAACAACACCCAACUGGCUUCUUUUCUGGUGGACAUUCUACGAGUUCCCGUGUUUCAUUCUUCUGCUAUGAUUUCAUCUCUUCAUUCAUGGCUGUUUUCCACCUUGGAUCAGCUAAGGCUUCCUGCACAUUGUUAGGAAUAACUAUAGUAGAUAAUUGAUUUACAAAUGACUUAUUUGAUUCAGACAAACGAUGGUUAGACACAUAGUUGCUCAUGGGAUAUUUGACUUUGGUAGACAAUUCAGGUUCAUAUGUGGGUUUAGGAAUACCUCUAUUAUGACAGUGUGGUAACCGUUUCAUGAAUGGAUCAGGUUCCAAAUUAAGAACACUCUCAGCAGACGACGAUUGGUUUGGUAUUUCAAUGAAGACAUCUUCGGACCCAAAUUGUUGACCACUCAUAUCCAACUCACCCACUUCCUGGUUCACUAGUUCAGAUUGUCCAGAUUCAUCAUCCUCAGAGAUAUGAUAAUCAUAAUCGAGAGUCUGAAUUUCCUUAUGGUACUCCCCCUGAAGUUCAGACUCAGAUGAAAAAUACAUCGAAUCUUCAUGAAACACCACAUUCAUUGUAAUAAACAUUCGUUGAGUUGGAGGAUGGUAGCAUCGAUAUCCUUUUUUGUGCAAUGCAUAUCCAACAAACACACAUUGUAAUGCAUGGGAAGUUAACUUGGUGAGUUGGUGUUUGUGUAGAUGCACAAAUUCCACGCAACCAAAAACACGAGGAGGUAGAUUUGGGACGGUUGGGGCAACUACGACAUUAGUAAGAACUUGGAGAGGUGUUUGGAAGUUAAUUGAGCUAAAAGGUACCCGAUUGAUCAAGUAUACGACAGAUGUGAUUGCUUCUCCCCAAUAAGAUAUCAGUAUUUUUGCUGCUAUCAAGGAAGCACGAACAACCUCUAACAAGUGCCGAUUUUUCCGUUCAGCGACUCCAUUUUGCUGGGGUGUAUUGGAACAAGUAGUCUGAUGAAUGAUGCCAUGUUCUUCCAAAUACUUUUGAAGAUCAUAACUCUGAUAUUCUCCACCAUUAUCACUACGCAAAACCCGAACCUUUGCAUUGUACUGAGUUUCAAUCAUUUUAAGAAAUUUUUGAAACAACAAGUUCACUUCAUCUUUGGUCUUCAUCAAGCAUAACCAUGUCAUUCUGGUACAAUCAUCAAUAAAAGCAACAAACCAAUGUGAGCCACUCAAAGUUGGGACUUUGGAUGGCCCCCAAACAUCAGAAUGUAUAACCAUAAAAGGAAGCGGAAUUUUAUUCAAAAUUAACAGAAACGAAGCACGAUGGCUUUUAGCCAAUUCACAAAUAUCACAAUGGAAACAAAAAAUAUCACUAUUUGCAAACAAACUAGGAAACAAUUUUUUUAAAUAACCAAAGGAAGCAUGUCCCAGAUGUCGAUGCCACAACCAAAUUUCAGACUUUUUCUUCUCCUCCUUAGAUCCAUCUGCCUUCAAGGCUUGUUGCAACUUAUUUGAAUCCUUUGACUACAAGUCCAAGUAAUAGAGUUUUCCCCGCUUAAUACCACAACCAAUCGUCUGUCUUGUUUGGAUGUCCUUAAUCACACAAAAUUCAGGCUAAAAAAAUGACAAUAUAAGAUAAGGCUACAGUGAUUUGAGAAACUGACAAAAGAUUGUAAUCUAGAGAUGGAACAACUAAAACAGAAUCCAAAUUCAAAGUAUCAGUAAGAGUUAAGGAUCCUUCCCCAAUGACUGGGGUUGUGUUACCAUUGGCUGUGGAAACAAUUUUUUGUGAGGAAGGUCUAAGGGGUGAAACCUAUCUAGAAUCAAAAGUCAUAUGAUCUGUAGCACUAGAAUCAAAUAUCCAUGCACUAUUAAUAACAUGGUUAAAAGUAUUUAAAAACUUACCACCAUGAUUUGUAGCGGCUACCAAUGCAGAGGCUUUCUCAGCAACAUUAGCCAUUGUUUUUAUUUUGGCAACAGUUGCAGUCGAGGUUUUCUUGGAAUCCUUCUUCCGUUGAUCACGAUUAUUAUCAUUAAUAACAAAGUGGUGAUAACCUAAACAUGAUCUAAAGGUCUAUGGUUCAAAUCCUCGGAUCCUUAUUGUUUUCCUGGUCAUACCAAGAGUCGUUGCUUUGAAAUUGUGGGAUAUCCAGACUGGUGGGAUCAAUCUUAUUGCAGUGAGUGCAUUUAAAGGUUGACUUAUCAAUAUUAGGGCUUGUCUUAGGAUAGUUGAUCGUUGUCGGACUACCAUAGUGACAAAAUAUCCAGGAUUAUUUCAAUUCCAUGGCUUUGAUACCAUCUUUAAAUUGAUAAAUGGUAGUUUUUUCAUUCAUUCUUUCAUUCAUUCAUGUAUAGAGUAUAUAUAGAGGGUAAUCACCAUUCUAAGAAUGGGAAAGAAUGAUAUAAGGAAAGAAUGAUAUAAGGAAAUAACAACUAAUAUCCUAAUAUCUCAACUUUCCUAAUAUCUCAAUAUUCCUAAUAUCUCAACUUUCCUAAUAUCUAAACAUUCCUAAUAUCUCAACACUAAAUGAUACAAGGAAAGAAUGAUAUUACGAAAGCAUUCCUAAUAUCUCAACAGUUAUAACCUUGUUGUAGUAGGGAACCGACACCUCCAAGAUUCAACAACAUAGUAACCUCACCUUAGGUGCACAACUUUGAUGAGCUAUUUGUACAACUUGAAUUUAUAAGGUACUCGUCUAGGUACUAGAGUUCAAUAUUGAAUAUAGGAAAAAUCAAUGUUGCAAUAAAAUGAUAGAAUCAAUGACACUGCAACAAGUGAGUUAGAUAGCUUGGUUGUUGCAUUGGAGUAAUGGUUGCAGUGGGCAGUGGAUGUAGCAGCAAAGAUGAAUAUUGUUGCAAAAACUAGCCAAACAAAGAUCACUAUGAUGAAAUGCAAACAACUACAGGUGAUCGUGCUUGGUUAUGAUGAUAGUCAUAGUAAAGCACCAAAAAUUGUAGCAAUUUAAACCCUCCCCCCCUGGUAGCAGAGGUCCUAGAAGAUGGGAUCAAAAACUCUAAAAAAGAUGAUAUUCAAGCUUUAAAAAAUGAUGCUUCUAUGAAAACUGUCCAAUAGUAUUUUCUUAAGCAUCCAUCACAAGCUUCAAUGUCUAAUGACAUGUCCUAGUUUCUUCUUAAGAAGCAACAAUUACAUGCAUUCUCACUCGAUGACGAAACUCACUUUUUGUUUAUGAAAAACAAAUUAAUUUUUUUUAAUAAUAGAGUUGCUACUUAUUUUUGUUUAAUUUUUUUUAAGGGCAAACAAAAUUAAAAAAAAAUCCUAGAAAUAUGACUCCAUUUUUUUUUAGAAAAGUCUAUCUUUGAAAACCUGAGUCUAAGUCAGGGGGUCAAAUUACUUAUCGGGAAGGUACCAUAAUGGUAGCACCCCUUUAAGUCCUAAAAUUGGUCUUUACUAAAUAAGUUGAGAUAAUUAUGAGGAUUAACUGAUUAAUUCAUGGAUAUAAUGAAUGAAAUAGACACAUCAACAUAAUUCAUCAAUUUAAUAAAGAAAGGCAUACCUGAUUUGUAUUCUAAGCGCUUCCAAAAAAACAUAAAAGUUAAAUAACAAGCAAUAACAUCACAUUGCAUUUUAAACAAUCAAAUAUUUCAUGAUAAGUUGAAUUUAAUGUCAUACAAUCUCAACACAACAAGCAAACACUAAAAUACAAUGUUCAAUCACAAGCUUUAAUUUAAAUAAAUGGUGAAGAAAAGGUUUGCUUCCCUGGUUUAGUGUCUUAAAGUGUUUUCAUAAAAAUGAGAUUAAUUCAUAAAUAAUAAUAAUGAAUUCAAAAAGGUAUCAAAAACUAAACUUAUAUAUAAUCAAUGUCAAAUUUAUUCACAAGAGGGUUUCUUUGCAAAAAAAAAAUGAAAAAAAUGAAAAAAUAGCAAAUGGUUAAAACAAGGGACUCUACAAAAUAAAUCUAAAACAAAUAUUUGGAAGUUAAGUUUUGUCAUGAAAAUUUUCAGGGAGUAUCUCCUUCAUGUCUAGUUUAUCAUCCAAGUACUCAAAUCAAUCAACUAGCGCUCAUUUAAUACCUAAUUUCAUAAUGAUAUUAGUAGGUCCAAAACAAGGCAUCUUUUUAAAGUAUUUAGCAAUUGAUUUUUUUAGUUAACUUAAAGAUGUCCUAAAAUUAUAUACAAAUUUCUGAAACUAUCCUAAUAUGUCUAUUUUGAAUUAAAAAUAAUCACAAGGAAAUAUCUUUAAUACUUAUUUUGAAUUACAUUCAUAACAUAUUUAAAAAUAAGUAAAUAUCUUUGAGCUCUGGGAGAGCACUAGUGUAGUAAGUUCAAGAAUAAAAAAUUAUAUGUUUCUUUUUAGUAAUUAUUUAUUAAUAUUUUAUAUUUCGAAAAUCAAAUUAGGAAGUCUAGAUUAAUAUAAAAAUAUUCAAUGAAUUUAAAGAAAUUGUUUAGUAAUUUAAUUUUGCAAAAUAAGACUAAGUGUCAAAAACAAAGUGAAAGUUGAAUCUUCUGAAAGAUUGAUUUAUAUCUUCUAAUUAGGAACUUAUUUUUGAGUAAAAUAAAGACCUAAAAUUAAGUUCAAAGAGUCUAGAAUAUCAUGGAAUAAUUAGAAAAAUUUUAAAGAGUUUUUAAAUGGUCAAAUUAUAAUUUACAAUUUCAUAUAUGCAGUGAGCUAUCAAUAGUGUCAAUAGAAAACCUUAUUUUUGAAAAAUUUUGUAUGCAGGGAUUUAUUCAAUCCCAUUUUAAUUUACAUGAAUUUUCAUUCAUAAAUAAUCCAUUGGUUGAAACUAUGAAUUUUAAUUCAUGUGUAUUUAAAACCAAAAUUCAUUUUUAAAACUUUUCAAAGUUGCAUACCAAAUAAAAUGGGUAGCAUUAUUUUUUUUAGAAAUUGAAAUUUUAUACUUAAAAAAGACUAAGAUGAAUUUUAAAUAUAAUUUCAAGGAUUGAUUUUGCUAUGAAUGGAGUAUAAAAACAUUUUUUUUUAAAAAAAAGAAGAAAAACAAUUCAUAUAUAUAUUUUUAAAUUUGAUUACCAACAAAUUUGUAAGUGUACAUGUGUGAAUUAUUUAAAAAAAAAAAAAGAUAAAUCAAAUUUUCAUGAGUCAAAGUCAAGAGAGUUUAUUCAAAGCCAAUUGUCAUAUGAUUAUCCAAUAGUUUACUUGGAUGAAGAUUUUUUUUUUUUUUUUAUAAAAAAAACAAAUUAACUCAAUUUCAAUCAUGAUUCAUCAAGUAAUCCACAUUUAAUCACUUAAUUUCCUAAAAAUCAAAUUCUAACAACACUCAUGUGUGGCCUAAUUUGUCCACACCCAACCUAAACUAACAUGUAUUCAAAAAAAUUAUAAAAUGAGAAAGGACCUAAAUAAAGAAGAAAAUAUAAAGUAUGAGUUAAGAUAAAAAAAUAUUUUACUUACAUCAAAUUAAAGUGUAAACCAAACAUAAAAUAUCCAUUUCACUAUUACCUGAACAAAACAUUAAUUCUCUCAAUAAUCUUCAUAUUAUUAAUUCAAAUUCUAUAUGGGCACUAAGAGUAAGAUCAUUGGAAUUUUCUAUUUGAUAUAAGUAUAUCCACUAACCUCAUUGGUAAAUUUUCAUGGCUGGUUUGUACAACCCUCAUAUCUAUUUUUCAUUUUUCCAUUUUCCUUUUAUUUAUUUAACACAUAUGCAUAUCAUUAAGAUUUCGUUCCCUGUUUUUUUUUUUUUUCAUUCAUCAUAUCACACUUCAUUACUUUUAGCAUGCAUUUUCAUGAAAGAAAUCAAUCUCUCUAUUUUUAUUUUCUAUUAAAUUCCAAUAUUUAUACAUAAAAAAAAAAUCACUCACGAUAUCUCAUUUUGCACCACAUUCCAUCAUGAAUUUCCAAAUAUAUAUAUAUAAAUUCAAUCAAUAUAUUUGUAGACCCCCAUUUUGGGUCAUUCUUGCAGCUGCCUACCGCCUAGCUUGCCACGUGGAGGAACUUUGAGAGGCCACUUGUCGGCUCGUGGAUGGCUGCUAGAGAAUCAUAGUAAUGGAAUUAAAGAACGAAUGAGAGUUGGACACCUGGAAGAAUAUUCAGGGGAGCGUUUGUUUGGCAUUGAGGUCGUUAGUGAGCUGCAGAGGUGCAUGUGCUUUUUGGACGUAGGGGUUGAGAGAUAUUUUGGGGUUGAUAGCAGAGUGUUUUUGGCAGGGGAUUAGGGGGGAUACUUAGAGCUAGGUAGAGAGAGGUCUUGAGGGCUGUUUGAGGAAGAUCAGAGAGUGAAACUAACUUGGGAGGAGAAGCUUGCUGGUGAAGAAAGAAAAACAGAGGAAAGUCGUGCUGUGGAUUUCUAGGUAAGGCCAUCUUGAGCUUGGAAUGUUCUUGUUUCUUAAUGUUUUGCUUCGCCCCUUGUUGAUCUUUGAGUGCUGUUUAUUGUUUGCUGUGGACAUCAAGGGCCACAGAGUUGUUUUGGUUGAACAUGUCUAUUUGCAUAUAAUGCCCUGUUUUGCUCCUUCGCAUACUCUUGAUUUUCCCCUGUAAUUAGCUAGAUUCUUCUUUGUGCUUGAGUUGGAAGAUUGGUAAGUAUAUCAUGGACUUCUAAUUCAUCCCACCAAUUUGCACCCCGUUUGUCAUUCUUGAAAUGAGGUUUUGCUUAAUAAAUCCUCAGGUCUCUUAUUCUUGCUGAGUUUUAGCGAUUCCUUUUUAUAUAUUUCUCUGUUCCUAGAUAUCUAGUUGUGGGAUGUUUUGGUUUGUGCAUCGCCAUUUGAGGGUUCCAGCACAGGGAAUGAAAGUUGUGGUCCCUGAAUCCUUGCAUCCCAAGAGGUCUUUAAAGAAUAUCUUGAGCCGUCGGUACAUGGUUCUACACCUCAUAUUUGGAGAAAAUGCCCUUGGAUGAUGUUACAAACUACGACUUCGAUAUGGCAGUAAGGAGAGCCAUAUGAAUUCAGCAGGUUGAUAAUACUAAAGUGAGUAAGAACACAACAGCAGCAUAGCGACAAAAAAUACUUCUUGGUAGUACUAGAACCUCUAAAACUAUAAACUCCACUAUAAUGGUUGAGAGAAUAUGAGGCAGUUUUGAUCGUGGUGGGUCAUCGUCUCUGUAUCCAGCAUCCUGAAUUGUGCUGUCAUGUGUGCUAAAUCUAUGCGCCUUUGUAGUGAAGAUGGAGUUGCCAUUUCUUUGCUUUGUUUUCUUGUUGAUCUGGCAAAGAGCUUGAAGACGAGCCCAAGUUCCUGAAGAAUGAUGAUGUAGGGUUUACCAAGAUGAUUCCCACCAAACCCAAAGUGAUGGAGAUUUCCUCCGAAUAUCUCCUAUUUGAUCGUUUUGGUGUUCAUGACAUGCCAUGCAUUAUUAUUGUUGGAGUCAUUAAAAGCUUAUAGAAGGAUCCAUUUGGGGACAAGCUCUGGAGGAAAGGAUCAUGCUGGAUGGGGUCCACUACAAAGUAACUUCUGACUUUCCUGAUGUAGCAAUAAGUGGUGCUAUCGGAAUCAUCAGCGGGUACCUUGACCAGUUGUCUAAGAAAUGUGCGUUAAAUCAUAUUUCAAAGAUUGAGAGUGGGAAUUUGACUCACGACUCAUCUGAAAAGGCUUCCAUUGAUUUGUCGCAUGGAAUUGGGGAAACUUCCAUGGGGAAAUUUUCGAUGGCUCAAUAAAACUGUAACUAAAAGGUGUAUAGGAUGUUGGCUCCUAGUGCCCCUCCUAAGACUCAAUCGAUCGACAGUGAGCAGGCUACUCAUGCCCCUGCAAAUAAUGAUUUGAAAUGCACCAAAGCAUAUCAGGAAGUUGAUGUUCCUGGACUUCAUAACCUUGCUAUGGCUAUUACAGGUUGCAGGGGUCUAAUGAUAGGACAACCUUCGUUUCUUGGAGAGAGUGGGGUUGUCACGACCCAAAUUCCAGGUGACCCAAAAUUUGGCCCGUGAUCCCAGGUCAAAGGUUUGACCCUAAGGGUUUCUCUUAUUCCACGUUGGCAGUCAACUAAAACACUCUGAAUUUUUUUUUUUUUUUCACAUAUAACUCCCACUAGGUUUUCACCAACUAACAAUAUUUCAAACUUUAUUCAAACACAUCAAGAUUUAAUAAACAUUAUUGCAUUCCAAAAUAAAAUUUCAUAAAAAUCCCCUUAAUCAAAUUAAGGUCUUAUUACAUUAUCCAUAAUUCACUUAUUACAAGGUCUCAAUACCACAAACACAAUAAAAAAAAAUAAAACACAUUCCACUAAACCGCUCUAGGGGCAUCCUGAAGUCCUCCCUGUCCCACUUGUGGAUCCUUAGGAGUGAUAUCUGCAUCUAAAAAGAUAUAAAAAGGAAGGGGUGAACAUUUCCACAUUGCUCAGUAGGGUGCCUAACACCCAAAGGGUUAAUGGGGGAUUACUAUAUUUCAAUAACCCAAACACAACAGUUUACCAAUAUAAAUCAAGUCACACAAUUUAACAUAUAACAUUAUAUUCAAUCCCACAACAUCCAAUCAUUAAAUGAAUGCAUAUGAAUGUGUGACACACAGUCAUACAAUGCAUUAUCGUUCUCGGGCUUUCACCGAAGGAUACGCGUCUGCACCCAAAUAUACUCCCCAUUUGGAGUCUUCCCGAGUAAACUUUUAGGUCUUUCACCCUAGAGAUCUCUCUCCCUUCUUAAUUCGCCUCACACGGGCUUUCACUUUUCAUCCCUAUUUUAUUUUUUUCCAUUUCAUACACUUUUCACAAUUUUUUUUUCAUACAACCAUGAUGCAAAUAAAUGCCACAAACUCCAAAAUUCCUCAAUAAUUUCUAUAAUUCCAAUAAUUCCAACAUUCUCAAUAACCCAAUAAAAUAAAAUUUUCACCUUAAAAUUCCCGAAAAUACACCAACAAAUUUUCAGAAAUUCACACAUCAAUAUACUUGAAUUUAUAUCACAAUUUCAGAAUUUUUCAAUAAUUUUAAUAAUUCCCAAUAUUUGAAAAUAACUAAUUUUCCACAAUAAAAUUACCGCAAAUAUUCCAAUCAAUUUUCAAAAAUUCAUAAAUCACUAGAUUUGAAUUCUUGCCCUAAUUCCGAAAUUUUCCUAUAUUUCUAAUAAUUUUUAACAACCUAAAACGAUUAAUUAUCAAUUACAAAGAAUUCCGGAAAUUACAAAAAAAAUCCAGAAAAAUCCCAAAUCAUUCCAGAAAAUUCACAUAACAUCAAAAUUAUCUACUUAACUCAUAAUUAUCAGAUUUAUAACUUUUUUUCCAAUGAAAAAUACAUUAAAUUUGAGUUUUAGGGUUAGUUUUCCCCUACCACAAAUUUGAGAAAUUGACCGUUAAAAAAUGAAAUCAACCACCGUAGACUUGUUCCUCUAGUCGAAUAGAGCACUUCCUCCGAAUUUGUGUUGAAGCGGAGGUCGUUUGGCCGUCUAAACGGCUAGUCAAAGAUCCGGCGAGUGACCAAAUUUCUGCAUAGUGCCCUUCUCUCUCUCUCCCCGCGUGCUGCCAGUUUCUAAUUCUCUCCCUUUUCCCUUUUUUUUUUUACUAAAAUUUCACCAACCACUUAAGCCCAAAACCAAAGGCCCAAUUCCAUUUCAUUUCAUUUUAACAAUCCAUACUACCUUUACAUGACCCAAGUUUAAUAGCCCAUUGAAUAUUUUCAUUUCAUUUCUUUUAUUUUACUUUUCUUUUGUUUUAUUUGAUUUCCAAUUCAUUUUUUUUAACACACAAAUUUAUUUAUUAACACCAAUCCAAAACUAAUUUUCUCAAAUUUAUUAUUCAUCAAUUUAAUUUAAUUUUUUCUUAAUUAAUUCUAAUUAAUUUUUAAUUAAUUCUUUUUUUUUUUUCGUUUUCGUUUUUCGUUUUUCGUUUCCGGAAGUUUUCAAUUUCUAAAAUCUUAAGAAAUUUUCUACCCUAAGGCUGACAUGACAUAAAAUUUCAACUCGUUUAAUUGACCGACACAAUAAAAUGAAAUUCACCAAUCUGAAAUUAACAUGUGUUCUCCAAACACUUUUCUUUUUGACUUUUCAACCAUCACACAAAAUAAGACUUUUCAAACUAAAAAUGCAAACGUGUCAUAAAAUACCCGGUCAUUACAUCCUACCCCCCUAAAAGAAAUUUCGUCCCGAAAUUUAAACUUGCUUACCUUAAAAUUUGUAGAAGAGUUGCGGAUAGUGUCGUCUCAUUUUUUCCUCAGGUUCCCAAGUGGCUUCUUCUAUCCCAUGAUGUUGCCACCACACUUUGACUGCAGGAAUCACCUUGUUCCUGAACCUAUGCUCUCCAACUUCCAGAAUUCGUAAAGGUUCCUCCACAUAAGAAGUAUCUUCACUAAUCUGAACAUCUUGCAAGUCCACUACCUAAGUUGGAUCUGGAGAACACUUCCUUAGCAUCGACACAUGGAAAACAUCAUGCACAAGGGACAACUGUUGAGGCAAAAGUAACUUGAAUGCCACUGGGCCAACCCUCUUAUCAAUCUGAAAUGGGCCCACAAACCUAGGGGCUAACUUCCCAUUUUUCCCAAAUCGAAAUAUGCCUCUUCGAGGGGACACUUUUACAAACACCCAAUCCCCUUCCUCAAACUCCAAGGGCCUUCUCCUUUUGUCUGCAUAACUUUUCUUUCUAUCUUGGGCAGUCUUAAGUUUUUCCUUGAUGAGUUGUAUCUUCUCUCUAGUCUCUUGGACAAUCUCAGGUCCCAACAAACGACUCUCACCCAUCUUUAUCCAACACAAGGGCGAUCUACAAGGUCUCCCAUAGAGUGCUUCAUAAGGUGCCAUCCAAUGCUAGAUUGGUAAUUGUUGUUAUAAGCAAACUCUGCCAAAGGUAAGUAAUCUGCCCAAUUUCCUCCAAAAUCCAAAACACAAGACCUUAACAUGUCUUCUAAGAUCUGGAUCACUCUCUCUGAUUGACUAUCUGUCUGAGGGUGAAAAACGGUGCUAAAAUUCAGUUGGGUGCCCAAAGCCCUUUGUAAACUCUGCCAAAACUGAGAAGUAAACUUAGGGUCCCUGUCAGACACUAUAGAUACAGGUAUCCCAUGCAAUCUCACAAUCUCCUGUAUAUACAACUUAGCCAAAGAGUUCAUGGAAUCAGUAGUUUUCAUGGCUAGAAAAUGAGCUGACUUAGUAAGACGAUCCACAAUCACCCAAACUCCAUUUUUCUUGCUUCUAGUUAUUGGCAACCCUAUCACAAAGUCCAUAGUGAUAUUAUCCCACUUCCACUCAGGUAUAGGUAAAGGUUGCAACAACCCUGUAGACCUCUGGUGUUCAGCCUUCACUUGCUGACAAAUCUGACAGUUGGCUACAAACUGAGCAAUAUCUCUCUUCAUCCCACUCCACCAAAACUCUCUUUAAGUCUUGAUACAUCUUGGUAUUCCCAGGGUGGAUGGUAUACUUCGCCCUAUGAGCAUCUGCUAGAAGUUCAUUUUUCAACUUCACAUCUUUUGGCACACACAAUCUCCCUUUGAACCUCACACUCCCAUCUUCAUACAUAGACUAAUUUUCAUCUAUUUCACCUGCUACCAACUGGGCUUUAACCUUUUCUAAAAACUCAUCAUGAACUUGGGCCUCCACUAUUCUCUGGAUAACCAUUGGUCUAGCUGAUAUAUUGUACAAGCAUGGACCAUGCCCUUCCAAACCAAGACAUAAUUCAAAAUCCUCAAUAACUGCAUGCAUCUCAAACUCUCUCAACUCCAAGCUAGACAAUUGACCAAAACUCUUCCUACUCAAGGCAUCUGCUACAACAUUCGCCUUUCCUGGAUGAUAAUGAAGAGCAAAAUCGUAAUCUUCCAAUGUCUCCAUCCAUUUCCUUUGCCUAGAGUUCAGAUCCUUUUGAGUGAAAAUGUAUUUCAAACUCUUGUGAUCAGAGUACACCUCAAACUUCUCUCCAUACAAAUAGUGUCUCCAAGUUUUAAGGGCAAACACCACUGCUGCAAGCUCCAAAUCAUGUGUUGGAUAAUUCCGCUCAUGCUGCUUUAAUUAUCUUGAGGCAUAAGCUACCACCUUGCCUUGCUGCAUUAGCACACACCCUAGCCCCCUUGUGGAAGCAUCACAAUAAAUUGUAAACAACUCUCCACUAAUAGGAGCAGUUAACACUAGAGCAGUGGUCAAUUUUCACUUCAACUCCUGGAAAGCAUUCUCACACUCCUCAUUCCAAUCAAAAUUCACCCCUUUUCUAGUCAACCGAGUCAUUGGUGCUGCAAUUCUAAAGAAGUCUUCUACAAACCUCCUAUAAUAUCCAGCCAACCCCAAGAAACUUCUAACCUCAAAUACAUUAGUAGGCCUUUGCCACUCCUGUACAGCUUUCACCUUGGAAUGGUCUACUGCUAUUCCUGCCCCAGAAACCACAUAGCCUAAGAAAUUCACUUCAGUAAGCCAAAACUCACUUUUGUCCAAUUUCCCAUAUAACUGAUGUCUUCUCAAAGUUUUAAGGGUGGUCACCAAAUGCUGCUUAUGCUCCUCCAAACUCCUGGAGUAGAUCAAGAUGUCAUCCACAAACACAAUCACAAACUGAUCGAAGUAAGCACGAAAUACUCUGUUCAUUAAAUCCAUGAAAGCAGCGGGGGCAUUAGUUAACCCAAAAGGCAUGACUAAGAACUCAUAAUGCCCAUAUCUCGUUCUAAAAGCGGUUUUAGGAACAUCUUCUUCCCUAACCCUCAAUUGAUGAUACCCAGUUCUCAAGUCAAUCUUACUAAAAUACUUUGCACCCUUCAACUGAUCAAACAAGUCAUCUAUCCUUGGAAGAGGAUACUUGUUCUUCACAGUAACUCUAUUCAACUUCCUAUAGUCAAUACAUAACCUUACUGUGUCAUCUCUUUUCUUCACAAACAACACUGGGGCUUCCCAUGGCGACGUACUUGGACGAAUAAAACCCUUACCCAACAAUUCAUCUAACUGAGUUUUCAAUUCCUUCAACUCAAGAGGGGCCAUCCUAUAAGGGGAUACUGAAAUAGGAUCAAUUCUUGGGUAUACUUCAAUAGAGAAAUCAAACUCUCUAUGCGGUGGUAAACUUGGUAACUCAUUUGGGAAUACAUCCUGAAACUUCCUCAGUACUGGAAUUUCUAUAAUGUCCUUCUGGGCUUUCUCCUUACCACGAAGGCAAGUUGAUUACUACUCAAAAAGUGCUAUUUGAUAACUUGUAAUUAACUCUUUUAAACACUUUUGAGUAGUAGUUAUUACCUUUUAACUCAAUUGGCAUGUUAAGGACCCUUGCAAUCAAUUCUAAUCAAAUUGUGUUAAGUUUUGGUGUUUUGAUAGCUUUUUGAUCACCAAAGCAAUCCAAGAUUGAGGAGAGUUCUUUGGAAUCCAUGGAAAAGCAAUGGAAAGCUCAGAAACAUGAAGAACCAAAACUUUGAAGUCCUUUUCCAUAAGCAAAUCUGGAAUGCAAGGAGGGGAAGCAAAGAGAAAUCUGCCAUGAAGCAUUCUUGAUGACAGUCAUGUUAGCCACUUUUGGAGCACUUCCUGGAGUCCAAUUUAUGCAUACUAUAUGUCGUUUCAAAGCUCAGGAAGUCAACAAUCCAAUGCUUCAAACGGUGCACAAUUCGGAGUUGAAAUGAAGGAGUUACAACCAUUGGAAGCAGAUCACUCCAAGCUGAAGGAAGAAUUUUGCACGGCUGCGAAAUCACCCUUUUGCUGCGAAAUGAUUUCGCAGCCAUUUUGCACAGUGCAACGAAAUUUCUCCUGAAGUUUCCCGAUAUUUGCGACCGACACUUUUGGAUAUUUUGCUUCAGAUUUUUGAUGUCUAAAUCCCCAUUUUCUCCUUGUAACCCACCAAUUAUAGGAUUCCUUAGUUAUUAAGUUUGGAAAAGGGGUGAAUAACCUCAGAUAUUUUGUUUUGUAAUUUUCUUUAUAUAUAGCUCUAGGGAGCUUGUUCUCAGAUAAUCAUGUAAUCCGACGGGAGGAAGACGCAUCCUUUGUAUAGUUUUGGAAGGAAUAUAUUUUACAGAGCACUUGCUCUGUUUUUCCUAUAUAUUUGUUUUCUCGUUCUUUUUAUUUCUAGCCAACCAAACUCUGAGGAUUUUUCCUCAGAGGAUGAGAGGCUAGGCUCUUCGUCUCUUGAAGCUAAGGUAACCGGGUAAGUUUCCACAUGCAUAAUUUGGAAGUUUUGUUGUUUUAGUUUUUAAUGAAGAGAAAGUGUGACCCGUUAAUGGUUUUUAUCUUUUUAGUUAACUUAAAACGCCUUUAAUUCACUUGAGCCAACACUUGGUAAGGCAAAUGAUCUCCGUCCAUGGAGAUGCACUAGUUUAUCUCUUGCGAGCUUUUGGGAGGUGACUUGAAGGUAGGAUUUUCUAGAAUUGCCAACACUUGGUAAGCUUUUGGACUCCAAGGAGACAUCCAUUAGUUAUCUCUUGCGAGCUUGAGAAGGGAAGUCCAAGGUUAAAGAUCACCUUGAAUGGCAAGUGCUAGGUGAGAGGUAUGAGCCAUUGCAAGAUGCAUCAGUGAGAGGGAUUUAGUGUUUGAACCCAUUAAUGGGAAGCAUCUGUACAACACCGGUUGGAGAAGGAACUAUAUGUUAAUUCUCUAAUGCGAGGAAAAGAAACAAGUGACCGGAACUCUCCUUUUUGUAUGAGGAACCUGAGCCUAGUGAUCUGAACUUCAAGAAACACUUUUCUUUGUAAGUAAAAUCAGUUACUAUUUUUUGGUUAGUUUAAAUCUAAACCUUUUUCAUUCAAACAUCUUUAUGUUUUCUUUUAAAGCUAACCUUGAAAUGAAAAGGCACCAAUUCAGCUUUGAAUUAAUAUCAUUUGCAAAGUGAAAACCCAUCCCAGUGAACGAUCCUAGAGCCACUAUGCUAUAGUAGCUUUGUCUUUGCUACCCUAGUAUAUGGUGUAAUAGGUUAUAAAUUUUGUUGAUUACUCCCUCAAUCAAGGAGCACCAGUUGGACACGAAUCAGCUGAUACACCAAUUGGGCACGAAUCACAAGCUAAGAAAUUUAUUGAUCCCUUCCCCAACACAUAUUGAUAACACGAAUUAGAUUGUGAAAAAGGCAAACUAACACACUUUUCUUCAACAAAGCAAACCUCAAAUCCCUCUGGCAGACAAAAUAUUAUCCUACGGCGAUGACAAUCAAUAAUCGCUCUAUACACUAUCAACCAAUCCAUUCCCAAGAUAACAUUAUACCCAGUCAUAUCCAAAAUCCUCAAAUCCACAUUUAGUGCUCUAUCUGCCAAGGUAAUAACACACCCCUUGCAUAUUCUAUCAACUCUAGAAUUCGUACCCAUAGGGGACUCAAUAAGUAACAAAUUUUCUACCCUUUCUGUUUUCAACCCCAAUGCAUUAGCACAAGAUGCAGAAAUGAAAGAAUGGGUUGCACCAGUAUCAAACAAAACACGCACCCAAGUACUAUAUACCAAAAUCAUACUUUCCACCAAAAGGGCGUCCUCCUCUGGCUUUGUUGGGGUCAAGGCAAAAACUCUUCCUACUGCCUGCCUUCCCCUACCUCUAGCAUUCGACCCUUGAGAAGAACGGGUUUGACUAAUCAUAGUAGCUGUCCUAGUUCCCUGUGCUGCUGGGGGUAAUUGUGGCAUCUGGUAGUAAGACAAUUGAAACUGAGGGGGUUGGAAAGACACUACUGGCUGUUGCUGAGAACUUCCCUGAGACUGAGGUCGAGCCUGCUGUACACCCCGCAAUGGGCAAGCCCUCCAUAAGUGGUAUCCCGCUCCACAACCAUAACAUACUCUAUUAGCAUCCACCCUCUGAGCACUCUACUCACCUCCUGUAUAGAAUGAGGAAUGUCUUUCAGACUGCUGAGUCCUCUGUCUCUGCUGCGGGCCUUGAGAUCUCCCCUGGGAACUUUCCCCCAUUCUUUGUUUCCCUUUUCUAUCCCCCAUUUGCUCCUGAAUUUGGUUGGUCUCCUCAAUAUCCUACUCCACCAACAAAGCCCUCUUAACCAAGUCAGAAUAAUCCCUUAUUGCUAGUGGGACUAAUUUGUUCCUAAUAGCAGGCCUCAACCCCUGCUGGAACCUCCUAGCCUUUUCUCCUUUCUCACUGAUCAUCCCCAAAGCAAAACAAGACAACUCUGAGAAACGUGACUCAUACUCCAGCAACGACAUGGUUCCUUGGAUGAGGUGCUCAAACUCCAUCCUCUUGGCAUGCUUAGCCACCUCCCCAAAAUACUUGCCUAGGAAGAUUCUCUCAAAUUCCUCCUAGGUCAUAACCUCAGUGUCAUACACCCUUUUCAUUGAUUCCCACCAGAAAUCAGCUUUAUCAACAAGGAUAUAUGCUGCCAGACCUACCCUUCUUUCCUCAGGUAUGUCCAGUCCCACCAGAAUUCUUCUCAUCCUCCUUAACCAAUGCUUAGCUGCUUCAGCACUGGGCUCUCCAUUAAAAGAUGGAGGCUGCAUCACCAUGAACCUCUUUAUUGCUUCCAUUUGGCUCAUUGCUGGCCUUUCAGUGCGGCUCCUCCUAUGUGAGUGGCUUGAAUCCUCAUGGCUCUGGGUACCUCCUGAUCUCCUAGAGUCCUGACCUCUCAUCGACUGAACAGUCUCUCUCAACUCCCUUCUUACUUCUCGGAGUAGUUUUUCUCUUAGUUCUUCUCUUAUCGACUCCAACUCCUCAUUUCUCUCAGAUCUUCCUCUUCUGGUCCUUCCUGCCAUUUCAAAUUUAACAAUCCCUAAUUCAACCACAUUACCAAGGUGAGCAAAAUAAAUUCACAUGUACCCAUUUAACAACCUCAACAACUAUCAAAACUUUCACUUUCCUACAAUCACAAUACAUAACUCAACAUAAUUAACAUCAUCAUGUUCUGAUUAUCAUCUACAAGAACCAUCACAAGGCUUUUCAAACAUCAAGAAUCAACAAUUAACUAAUUUAUUUAAUAAUAAACUCAUUAACUAACACAUACAGAAAAUCAUAACAUUACAUAACAUUACAAUACACACAACACCCACAAACAUUGACCCUAAAGUAUUAUUGCAACCUUGGCUCUGAUACCACGCUGUCACGACCCAAAUUCCGGGCGAACCAAAAUUUGGCCCGUGACCCCAGGUCAAAGGUUUGACCCUAAGGGUUUCUCUUAUUCCACGUUGGCAGUCAACUAAAACACUCUGAAUUUUUUAUUUUUUUUUCACAUAUAAGUCCCACUAGGUUCUCACCAACUAACAAUAUUUCAAACCUUAUUCAAACACAUCAACAUUUAAUAAACAUCAUUGCAUUCCAAAAUAAAAUUUCAUAAAAAUCCCCUUAAUCAAAUUAAGGUCUUAUUACAUUAUCCAUAAUUCACUUAUUACAAGGUCUCAAUACCACAAACACAAUAAAAAAAAUAAAACACAUUCCACUAAACCGCUCCAGGGGCAUCCUGAAGUCCUCCCUGUCCCACUUGUGGAUCCUUAGGAGUGAUAUCUGCAUCUAAAAAGAUAUAAAAAGGAAGGGGUGAGCAUUUCCACAUUGCUCAGUAGGGUGCCUAACACCCAAAGGGUUAAUGGGGGAUUACUAUAUUUCAAUAACCCAAACACAACAGUUUACCAAUAUCAAUCAAGUCACACAAUUUAACAUAUAACAUUAUAUUCAAUCCCACAACAUCCAAUCAUUAAAUGAAUGCAUAUGAAUGUGUGACACACAGUCAUACAAUGCAUUAUCGUUCUCGGGCUUUCACCGAAGGAUACGCGUCCGCACCCAAAUAUACUCCCCAUUCGGAGUCUUCCCGAGGUAAACUUUUGGAUCUUUCACCCUAGGGAUCUCUCUCCCUUCUUAAUUCGCCUCACACGGGCUUUCACUUUUCAUCCCUAUUUUAUUUUUUUCAUUUCAUACAAUUUAUAAAUUUUUUUUUUCAUACAACCAUGAUGCAAGUGAAUGUCACAAACUCCAAAAUUCCUCAAUAAUUUCUACAAUUCCAAUAAUUCCAACAUUCUCAAUAACCCAAUAAAAUAAAAUUUUCACCUUAAAAUUCUCACCCUAAGGAUCUCUCUCCCUUCUUAAUUCGCCUUACACGGGCUUUCACUUUUCAUCCCUAUUUUAUUUUUUUCAUUUCAUACAAUUUAUAAAUUUUUUUUUUCAUACAACCAUGAUGCAAGUGAAUGUCACAAACUCCAAAAUUCCUCAAUAAUUUCUACAAUUCCAAUAAUUCCAACAUUCUCAAUAACCCAAUAAAAUAAAAUUUUCACCUUAAAAUUCCCAAAAAUACACCAACAAAUUUUCAGAAAUUCGCACAUCAAUAUACUUGAAUUUAUAUCACAAUUUCGGAAUUUUUCAAUAAUUUUAAUAAUUCCCAAUAUUUGAAAAUAACUAAUUUUCCACAAUAAAAUUACCACAAAUAUUCCAAUCAAUUUUCAAAAAUUCAUAAAUCACUAGAUUUGAAUUCUUGCCCUAAUUCUGGAAUUUUCCUAUAUUUCUAAUAAUUUUUAACAACCUAAAACGAUUAAUUAUCAAUUACAAAGAAUUCCGGAAAUUACAAAAAAAUCCAGAAAAAUCCCAAAUCAUUCCAGAAAAUUCACACAACAUCAAAAUUAUCUACUUAACUCAUAAUUAUCAUAUUUAUAAAUUUUUUUCCAAUGAAAAAUACAUUAAAUUUGAGUUUUAGGAUUAGUUUUCCCCUACCACAAAUCUGAGAAGUUGACCGUUAAAAAAUGAAUUCAGCCAUCGUAGACUUGUUCCUCUAGUCGAAUAGAGCACUUCCUCCGAAUUUGGGUUGAAGCGGAGGUCGUUUGGCCGUCCAAACGGCCAGUCAAAGAUCCGGCGAGUGACCAAAUUUCUGCACAGUGCCCUUUUCUCUCUCUCCUCGCGUGCUGCCAGUUUCUAAUUCUCCCCCUUUUCCUUUUUUUUUUUUUUUUUCUUACUAAAAUUUCACCAGCCACUUAAGCCCAAAACCAAAGGCCCAAUUCCAUUUCAUUUCAUUUUAACAAUCCAUACUACCUUUACAUGGCCCAAGUUUAAUAGCCCAUUGAAUAUUUUCAUUUCUUUUCUUUUAUUUUACUUUUCUUUUGUUUAUUCUAUUUGUUUUAUUUGAUUUCCAAUUCAUUUUUUUUAACACAUAAAUUUAUUUAUUAACACUAAUCCAAAACUAAUUUUCUCAAUUUUAUUAUUCAUCAAUUUAAUUUAAUUUUUUCUUAAUUAAUUCUAAUUAAUUUUUAAUUAAUUCUUUUUUUUUUCGUUUUCGUUUUUCGUUUCCGGAAGUUUUCAAUUUCUAAAAUCUUAAGAAAUUUUCUACCCUAAAGCUGAUAUGACAUAAAAUUUCAACUCGUUUAAUUGACCGAUACAAUAAAAUGAAAUUCACCAAUAUGAAAUUGACACGUGUUCUUCAAACACUUUUCUUUUUUACUUUUCAACCAUCACACAAAAUAAGACUUUUCAAACUAAAAAUGCUAACGUGUCAUAAAAUACCCUGUCAUUACAGAGUCGACUAGCUUGCUGAAAUUAACAAGGUUUUGGGCACUUCAACAAGAGAGGAGAUGAAAUGCAUGGAAUCCAUCUGUACAGAGUUCGGAUAACCUCCUAUCCCAUUCAUCCCCUGUGCAUGACAACCUUUACUAUCCAUCAAACCUACCCACUAACCCAUUUCGUCUUUCAUCCAUCAUGCCUUCUCUCCUCAUGCCCACUACCAUUCCAUACCAUGCAUAUCACCAAUUCUUGCAUAUACAUAUUGCCAUACCCGUUAUAUCCCUACAUUCUGCCACUCAUCCCACUAAUCGAUACCCAUUCAUUUACUAAAUCAUUUUUCAGCCAUCCCACUCACUAUUCAAGCCCAAUUUUCUCACCACUAUUCAUCACCCAUGAAUCCCUCUUCCUUUGUUUCCCUGCAUGUGGUCAUCCUCAUCCAUGUACACCCAUCAUAUUCAGUGUCUUUCACUUAUUUUCAUCACCAUACCCAUCUUUUAUCCUCUUAUACCCAUCGUUUAUUUUUCUUGUAUCCAUUAAGCCAUAUUUUGACCAUCAUCGUCUCCUCUAUCACGCUUUUAGUAUACUUCUUUCCUUCCUCGAGUACAUGAAGCCUCAGUUUGCUAACAAACAGUCUUGCUUCGGACGCAAUACAGGGUGAUGUAUAUCAGCAUCGAAGGAAGAGGAUGCUAGAUAGUCCUUCAGGGAAAGUGCAGCCAUGCAUGUUGCUAUUGACGUGGCGGAUAGACCGAUAGACUGAUCCAAAAAUCUGAGAAGAAACAGUGACCGGGAAUGGUGAAGACCAGCCAUCAGAAUUGAUCUCGGAACCACCUGCUCUUGUACUAAGGUAUGGCAGCACGAUUAUGCCGCGAUUAUCACCAACCUUCAGGGCAGCAUUGCGUGGUACACCUGUAGAUAUUUCCAGAAAUUUUCAGUGAGUUCAAGGUGCCAAGUCUCAAAUGGUUUUUUAAGGAACAAACCAUGCAAACAUUAACAUGGAUCAAAGUUCUCAGAUUCCUUAUACAGAUGUAUUAACCGUCCAACCGGGUGAUCUAGCUUCAGGUCAUUUGGAUGACAGAGAACAGACUGAUGGAUCUUAUGUCAAUGUAACUAGGGACAAACAGAAGAACAGUUUAGAUUCAUCUCAGUCACAAGUAAAUGAUGACACACUUCGUGUGGAUGAUAGAAGUGGAAGAGUCCACCCAACUGUUGAUAUAGCUGAAAUUAUCAGGCGCUGGACUCAUGCUUUACAACAUAUUCAUAAACAGUCACUUCAUCUGGCAAAGUCUGAUGAUGGAGAGGGUCCAGAGCUUCUAAGAGGCGCACGUGAUGGUGGUACAAGUGAUCAUGCUGAGUCUUUGGCGGCAACUCUUUCUGAACAUCAGCAACACUUAGCUAGCUUUCAGGUGCUAAUAAACCAACUUAAGGAAGUCGCUCCAUCAAUGCAAAAGUCGAUAUCAGAAUGUUCAGAAAAAGUGAACGGUAUUUCCUCCAAUCUUCCUCCAAUGGCCAAACAUCAUGGUAGAUCAACAUCACCCAUCCAUGCUCAGAGCAGUGGAAGGACAGUGGAGAGUAGCACUGAUGAGGUUGCCGAUGUGACUUCAAAUUGUCUACCAUUCAUCUUGAGAAGGUUUCAGCUAGUCCUCCUGCGUUAAAACUUCCACAGUUGUUUAGUUUGACGCCAAAUUAUUCUGGAAAAAGUGGAAGUAUGAACAAAUGUCAAGUUGUGGCUCCUCAAUCCAAUCAAGUAGAGAAUUUGUCUGACAGGAAGUCUCUGGAUCAACCUCUGUCAAACAAUCACUUGAAUGAUCCACCACAAGACUCUGACAUUUCUUAUGUCCAGAACCUAAAGAGAUCUGUCAGAGAAGCAGCUCUGUCUAUGCAAACCUGCAAUGUGGAAUCAUCACGAGAUAGUCACUCUGAUGAUAGCUCCGAACACUUCUUUGUUCCUCUUUCUGGGACAGGGUUCUCUCGACUGGGCCCA
RNAcentral lists this long non-coding RNA (28470 nucleotides) under Vitis vinifera (wine grape). Its description in RNAcentral is "long non-coding RNA (VVIN_LNC000790)". The record is from RNAcentral. Lineage: Eukaryota; Viridiplantae; Streptophyta; Magnoliopsida; Vitales; Vitaceae.